RNAcentral lists this ribosomal RNA (714 nucleotides) under uncultured cyanobacterium. Its description in RNAcentral is "bacterial SSU rRNA". It matches the Rfam family "Bacterial small subunit ribosomal RNA", at positions 66 to 819 of the family's 1533-position model. Lineage: Bacteria; Bacillati; Cyanobacteriota. The record is from RNAcentral.
ACGAAGUUUUUCGGAACUUAGUGGCGGACGGGUGAGUAACGCGUGAGAAUCUGCCUUAAGGAUUGGGACAACAGCUGGAAACGGCUGCUAAUACCAGAUAUGCCUAUAAGUGAAAGGAGUUUAUCUCCGCCUUAAGAUGAGCUCGCGUCUGAUUAGCUAGUUGGUGUGGUAAGAGCGCACCAAGGCAACGAUCAGUAGCUGGUUUGAGAGAAUGACCAGCCACACUGGGACUGAGACACGGCCCAGACUCCUACGGGAGGCAGCAGUGAGGAAUUUUCCGCAAUGGGCGAAAGCCUGACGGAGCAAUACCGCGUGAGGGAGGAAGGUUCUUGGAUUGUAAACCUCUUUUCUCAGAGAAGAAUAAUGACGGUAUCUGAGGAAUCAGCAUCGGCUAACUCCGUGCCAGCAGCCGCGGUAAUACGGAGGAUGCAAGCGUUAUCCGGAAUUAUUGGGCGUAAAGGGUCUGUAGGUGGUUGUUCAAGUCUGCUGUUAAAGCGUCUGGCUUAACCAGAUAAAGGCGGUGGAAACUGAACGACUAGAGUGCGGUAGGGGUAGAGGGAAUUCCCAGUGUAGCGGUGAAAUGCGUAGAUCUUGGGAAGAACACCUGUGGCGAAAGCGCUCUACUGGACCGCAACUGACACUCAUGGACGAAAGCUAGGGGAGCGAAUGGGAUUAGAUACCCCAGUAGUCCUAGCCGUAAACGAUGGAUACUAG